CUAGUAGGCGUCGAGUGGCGGACGGGUGAGUAACGCGUAGGAAUCUGCCCAUCUGUGGGGGAUACCAGUUGGAAACGACUGUUAAUACCGCAUAAUAUCUGCGGAUUAAAGGUGGCCUUUGUGCUGCCGCAGAUGGAUGAGCCUGCGUUAGAUUAGCUUGUUGGUGGGGUAAGGGCCUACCAAGGCUACGAUCUAUAGCUGAUUUGAGAGGAUGAUCAGCCACAUUGGGACUGAGACACGGCCCAAACUCCUACGGGAGGCAGCAGUGGGGAAUAUUGGACAAUGGGCGAAAGCCUGAUCCAGCAAUGCCAUGUGUGUGAAGAAGGCUCUAGGGUUGUAAAGCACUUUAGUUGGGGAGGAAAGCUUAUGAGUUAAUAGCUCAUGAGAAGGACGUUACCCAAAGAAUAAGGACCGGCUAACUCCGUGCCAGCAGCCGCGGUAAUACGGGGGGUCCGAGCGUUAAUCGGAAUUACUGGGCGUAAAGGGUCUGUAGGUGGUUUGUUAAGUCAGAUGUGAAAGCCCAGGGCUCAACCUUGGAACUGCAUUUGAUACUGGCAAACUAGAGUAUAGUAGAGGAAUGGGGAAUUUCUGGUGUAGCGGUGAAAUGCGUAGAGAUCAGAAGGAACACCAAUGGCGAAGGCAACAUUCUGGACUAAUACUGACACUGAGGGACGAAAGCGUGGGGAUCAAACAGGAUUAGAUACCCUGGUAGUCCACGCUGUAAACGAUGAGUACUAGCUGUUGGAGUCGGUGUAAAGGCUCUAGUGGCGUAGCUAACGCGUUAAGUACUCCGCCUGGGGACUACGGCCGCAAGGCUAAAACUCAAAGGAAUUGACGGGGACCCGCACAAGCGGUGGAGCAUGUGGUUUAAUUCGAUGCAACGCGAAGAACCUUACCUGGUCUUGACAUCCUGCGAACUUUCUAGAGAUAGAUUGGUGCCUUCGGGAACGCAGUGACAGGUGCUGCACGGCUGUCGUCAGCUCGUGUUGUGAAAUGUUGGGUUAAGUCCCGCAACGAGCGCAACCCCUAUUGAUAGUUACCAUCAUUAAGUUGGGUACUCUAUUGAGACUGCCGCUGACAAGGCGGAGGAAGGUGGGGACGACGUCAAGUCAUCAUGGCCCUUACGACCAGGGCUACACACGUGCUACAAUGGGUAUUACAGAGGGCUGCGAAGGUGCGAGCUGGAGCGAAACUCAGAAAGGUACUCUUAGUCCGGA
RNAcentral lists this ribosomal RNA (1217 nucleotides) under Francisella uliginis. RNAcentral describes it as "16S ribosomal RNA". It matches the Rfam family "Bacterial small subunit ribosomal RNA", at positions 80 to 1297 of the family's 1533-position model. The record is from RNAcentral. Lineage: Bacteria; Pseudomonadati; Pseudomonadota; Gammaproteobacteria; Thiotrichales; Francisellaceae.